Scylla paramamosain (green mud crab) is the source of this 605-nucleotide long non-coding RNA. RefSeq lists it as uncharacterized. Lineage: Eukaryota; Metazoa; Arthropoda; Malacostraca; Decapoda; Portunidae. The record is from RefSeq and is a predicted model, not a curated record. The transcript is spliced from 3 exons.
GCACCUGCCUGCUUAUAGCUCCCGUCACAGGAGGCUUGCCUCUUUUUUAGUGAGCUUUGAUAAUUAAUCCUAUACAGUUGUACAUUAGUGAAAUAACCAUAGAGAGCUCCACUCAGAAUUGCGUGUGUCCCCGCUGGAUCUUCCACAGCCACCACAAAUCAGCGCCCGGUGUGUCAAUAAGUGAGUGGGUGUCGCGACAACUGGUGCAGGUGUGCCGGGCCUGGGUGGAGGUCAAGGUCAAUGUUUGGUGCCACCGCAGACUGAGGCGGGAAAGUGUUGCUCAAAGACGGCGAUUGGGUCCCGGCAAGGCAAGGCAAGGUCAAAUAGUCAGAAGGUUAGGAGACCACAGUUCUAAGAAGUUUGAUAGGUCACCUAUACUGGCCAAAGGCGAUGCCACACACUCGCCUCCUUGGGAUGAAGAGGAACAAGCAGCAAUUUUUUUUAGUGCUUUACUUUCCUCUGUCACAUUUUACGGACAGUAUAGCCAGACCGACCAUUAUAUCUUGCCUUUGAAGUAGACAGAGCAUCGUCCAUUGUUGAGCUUUCAUUGUACCUCGGCCAAUAAAAGAACCUGAAUUUUUAAACAUAGCCAGAACCCUGAUGGA